Molecule: ribosomal RNA, 550 nt
Filed under: Funneliformis mosseae
Lineage: Eukaryota; Fungi; Glomeromycota; Glomeromycetes; Glomerales; Glomeraceae
Description: SSU rRNA
Rfam family: Eukaryotic small subunit ribosomal RNA
Source: RNAcentral
UUGGAGGGCAAGUCUGGUGCCAGCAGCCGCGGUAAUUCCAGCUCCAAUAGCGUAUAUUAAAGUUGUUGCAGUUAAAAAGCUCGUAGUUGAAUUUCGGGAUCAAUAUUUCGGUCAUGCCGUUGGUAUGCACUGUUAUCAUUGAUUUCUCACCUUCUAAAGAACCGUAAUGCCAUUAAUUUGGUGUUACGGGGAAUUAGGACUGUUACCUUGAAAAAAUUAGAGUGUUUAAAGCAGGCUCACGCUUGAAUACAUUAGCAUGGAAUAAUGAAAUAGGACAUCCGAUUCUAUUUUGUUGGUUUCUAGGAUCGAUGUAAUGAUUAGUAGGGAUAGUUGGGGGCAUUAGUAUUCAAUUGUCAGAGGUGAAAUUCUUGGAUUUAUUGAAGACUAACUACUGCGAAAGCAUUUGCCAAGGAUGUUUUCAUUAAUCAAGAACGAAAGUUAGGGGAUCGAAGACGAUCAGAUACCGUCGUAGUCUUAACCAUAAACUGUGCCGACUAGGGAUCGGAUGAUGUUAAUUUUUUAAUGACUCAUCCGGCGCCUUACGGGAAAC